CUCGGGAUGAACGCUAGCGACAGGCCUAACACAUGCAAGUCGAGGGGCAGCACAAGGAGCAAUCUGAGGUGGCGACCGGCGCACGGGUGAGUAACACGUAUGCAACCUGCCUGUAAGCGGGGAAUAACCCGUUGAAAGACGGACUAAUACCGCAUAAUACUAAAUUACUGCAUGGUAAUUCAUUUAAACAUUUAUGGCUUACAGAUGGGCAUGCGCAUGAUUAGCUAGUUGGAGAGGUAACGGCUCCCCAAGGCAACGAUCAUUAGGGGUUCUGAGAGGAAGGUCCCCACACUGGUACUGAGACACGGACCAGACUCCUACGGGAGGCAGCAGUGAGGAAUAUUGGUCAAUGGACGAGAGUCUGAACCAGCCAAGUCGCGUGCAGGAAGAAUGUCCUUAAUGGAUUGUAAACUGCUUUUGCAGGGGAAUAAAGUGCAUCACGUGUGAUGUUUUGUAUGUACUCUGCGAAUAAGGAUCGGCUAACUCCGUGCCAGCAGCAGC
RNAcentral lists this ribosomal RNA (501 nucleotides) under uncultured bacterium. Its description in RNAcentral is "bacterial SSU rRNA". It matches the Rfam family "Bacterial small subunit ribosomal RNA", at positions 23 to 518 of the family's 1533-position model. The record is from RNAcentral.